GCGGAGCGGAGCGGGAUCUGGCGGCUCUCCGUCCCCUCGCUUACCGGCGCACGUAGGCGCGGGCGACAGCCGAGGCGGCGGAGAGCGGCAGGAGCGCAGGUCUGUGCGCGGGAGAGCGGGCACGGCGGGGGGGGAGCGGGGCUGUGCGCACCGGGGCUGGGAGCUGGGAGCUGGGAGCGAGCGGCGCGGCCGAGUGGUUUGCUUGUUUCUGAAAAUACAUUUUGUUUAUGUGGCGCUUAGAGACGUAGGGCAGUGACCCCGUUCAUCCCCCGUGUGAUCCUGGCUGAAGCAGGAUGCUGACGCUGUGGGGAGAACAGUUAGAGUUCUUCUCCACCACGCGUACGGACCCCGAUGGCCGUAGGGAUGGGAGGCACAAGGUGGUCUUCACGAGGCAGGGGCCGUACCCAUCCCUGCAGUUACGGGCGUUAUCCCUUCCUCUGACAGGAACGAUGCAGUCUGUACGGUGUAUUUUCCGAACUGUGACGGUGGUUUCUCUGGGGUGCUGUGUGAGGAAGCACUGAGGCGGAUCGGUGCUUCCCUAAGGCAGAUUUGUCUCCAUUCAGUCACAACCUGAAGAGUGACAAAUGGAUAUCUUGGCCUAAGAAUCCUGAGGCCCCGGACAUAUAGGAAUAUCCUGAAAGUCACUACAAGCAGCCUGAGCUUUAAUGGUACUGAAGAAACAUUAUAGCUAUUUAAAACUGAAUGGAUCAAA
Long non-coding RNA from Gallus gallus (chicken), 712 nucleotides. RefSeq lists it as uncharacterized. The record is from RefSeq and is a predicted model, not a curated record. The transcript is spliced from 2 exons. NCBI's taxonomy places the organism in Eukaryota, Metazoa, Chordata, Aves, Galliformes, Phasianidae.